GUGGUAAUAGCUCAAUUGGUAGAGCACUGGCUUGCCAAGUCAGAUGUUGCGAGUUCAAGUCUCGUUUACCGCAC
Molecule: transfer RNA, 74 nt
Filed under: Rhodococcus phage NiceHouse
Lineage: Duplodnaviria; Heunggongvirae; Uroviricota; Caudoviricetes
Description: tRNA-Gly
Rfam family: tRNA
About the family: Transfer RNA (tRNA) molecules are approximately 80 nucleotides in length. Their secondary structure includes four short double-helical elements and three loops (D, anti-codon, and T loops).
Source: RNAcentral